GGCCCACUUCAGAGACUUUGUAUUAUGAUGCGGAAAGAAAAGUUUAGCAUCAACUUUCUUACCUCUUAUAGAUUCCUUCAGUUCUUGGCCGCUCUCAUCAUAAUCUAUACAAACUUGCUACCUUAAGGAGAAGACUGGUUUCUCAGAAUCACUGGAUGGGCGAAAUACAAGACAGCAACAAUUUAUCUGGGAUCAAAUUAUUUGGUGCAACAAUAGCAGCUCAAGAGAGACAAUCAACAAACAAAGAUGAGCCGAAAAAAGCUGAUCAAACGGUAGAGAAAAGGCCACAAAAGAUCAUUCCAUGCCCAAGAUGCCAAAGCUUAGAAACAAAGUUUUGUUACUUCAACAACUACAAUGUCAACCAGCCUAGGCACUUUUGUAAGGGCUGCCAUAGGUACUGGACCGCCGGUGGGGCCCUCAGAAACGUGCCGGUCGGCUCUGGUCGACGGAAAACAUCUAAGCCACCUUGCCAGGACCUCGCAGGACCGUUAUCAGAGGGUUGCUUAUUGGACGCUUAUCAGGUGCAACAAUUAGAGUUUGAUGCGGUGGAGCACGGCAUGUUUCUGACCAAGAGGAGGAAAAAUGCUUGAGGCCAAAUUGAGAGCAGCUAGAGUUCUUGGAAUGAAGUUCGAGGUGUGUCAACCCACUCCUUUGAUUGAGAAGUACCAAAAGCAUGUUUUGCGAGAGAGGGGCGUUUACUACAUCAUUUGCUUCACGGAGAAAAAGAUUACAUUGUAAAUUCGAAAAGGGAAAAAAAGAAUUUUGCUGAUGUACCUGAAAAUGCUUGAUCGAUGGAGUGACAUCCUCUCACAUUGCUGCGGGUCCCAUUUGAAUAAAAAAAUGCCGACCUCCUAUGUAUGUGUGUAAUCGGUCAAACUCUAUGUCACCGCCUAUGUUGCUGUAGCUUCGUCCCGAAAAAAAGACCAAACUCCAUAAAUUUCUAACCCACCACCAUUUCCACGAGACUGCGAUCAGUUUUUCCAUAUUAGCUGUUGUCAAUUUCUUCGCGAAGCACACAGUGAAAUUGCUCCCGCGUUAUCCCAUUCAAAAUUGUGUUUUAAUUCAAUAAUCUUCCCCUUAAAUAGAGAAAUAAUUUGUAA
Olea europaea var. sylvestris is the source of this 1100-nucleotide RNA transcript. It is a transcript of the gene named cyclic dof factor 4-like, with no coding region annotated. NCBI's taxonomy places the organism in Eukaryota, Viridiplantae, Streptophyta, Magnoliopsida, Lamiales, Oleaceae. The record is from RefSeq and is a predicted model, not a curated record. The transcript has 3 exons.